AAGGUAAUUACAUAAUUAAAAUUUAAUUCAAUAAGUCCCAAAUAAUCCAAACACACAUUUUGUCCUUAAAAAAAAAUUAAACUAAAUAGUUACAUCUCAACUAAGUGAAAUUUGCUGCAAAAAGGUCCCUAAUUUACAGCCUACUCUUUCUUCCCAUUCCAUCAAAGCCACCUCACAGCUGUAACCUGCAGAGACCAAAACAACUUAUUUUAAAAGCACUUUUUAAAAGCACUUAAAAAACUGAAAAAACAACUAAUAAAUCACUCAGUUCGAAGCUUUAUCCAGAGGAUUAAUUGGAACAUCUGAAAAGGCAUUGCAACAAUGGGUUAAACAAGAACAGAUCAAAUCCCACAUAAUCUGGGAUGAGAAAAUAAAAAAAAACAGGAGUGCUUUAAGGCUUAAUCUCUUCUUGAUAAUAACAACAGAUGAGAG
RNAcentral lists this long non-coding RNA (432 nucleotides) under Lathyrus oleraceus (garden pea). RNAcentral describes it as "Pisum sativum (pea) long non-coding RNA (PSAT_LNC016529)". Lineage: Eukaryota; Viridiplantae; Streptophyta; Magnoliopsida; Fabales; Fabaceae. The record is from RNAcentral.